This 87-nucleotide ribosomal RNA is filed under the name Streptococcus pyogenes. Lineage: Bacteria; Bacillati; Bacillota; Bacilli; Lactobacillales; Streptococcaceae. The record is from RNAcentral.
AGUGACGAUAGCCUAGGAGAUACACCUGUACCCAUGCCGAACACAGCAGUUAAGCCCUAGAACGCCUGAUGUAGUUGGGGGUUGCCC